Molecule: ribosomal RNA, 511 nt
Filed under: Strengeriana flagellata
Lineage: Eukaryota; Metazoa; Arthropoda; Malacostraca; Decapoda; Pseudothelphusidae
Description: partial large subunit ribosomal RNA
Rfam family: Bacterial large subunit ribosomal RNA
Source: RNAcentral
CCUGCCCACUGAUAAUAUUAGGAUUUAACGGCUGCGGUAUUAAUAACCGUGCAAAGGUAGCAUAAUCAUUAGUCUUUUAAUUGAAGGCUUGUAUGAAUGGUUGGACAAAAGAGGAACGGUCUGUCUUUAAUAAAAAUUGAAUUUAACUUUUAAGUGAGAAGGCUUAAAUAAUUCAGAGGGACGAUAAGACCCUAUAAAGCUUUAUAAAAAUAAGAUUUGACUAAAUUAUUAUUAAAAGUUAAAAUACUAUAUUUUAUUUGGUUGGGGCAACUAAUGUAUAAUUAUUAUUAACUGCUUAAUAUUAAAAACAAAUAUAUUUGUAUUAAAAAUUAAAUGAUCCUUUUUAAUGAUUUUAAGAUUAAGUUACUUUAGGGAUAACAGCGUUAUUUUUUUUAAGAGUUCAUAUCGAAAAAAGAGUUUACGACCUCGAUGUUGAAUUAAAAUUUCUAUAUAGUGCAGUUAUUAUAUAAGGGGGUCUGUUCGACCUUUAAAUUUUUACGUGAUCUGAGUU